CACACCGCCCGUCAAGCCACGAAAGCUGAGUGUGCCAGAAGUCGCUAGUCUAACCGCAAGGAGGGCGGCGCCCAAGGCAAACUCGGUGAUUGGGACU
RNAcentral lists this ribosomal RNA (97 nucleotides) under uncultured bacterium. RNAcentral's name for it is "partial 16S ribosomal RNA". It matches the Rfam family "Bacterial small subunit ribosomal RNA", at positions 1386 to 1482 of the family's 1533-position model. The record is from RNAcentral.